This 446-nucleotide ribosomal RNA is filed under the name uncultured bacterium. RNAcentral's name for it is "partial 16S ribosomal RNA". It matches the Rfam family "Bacterial small subunit ribosomal RNA", at positions 338 to 795 of the family's 1533-position model. The record is from RNAcentral.
CCUACGGGGAGCUGCAGUAGGGAAUUUUCGGCAAUGGGGGGAACCCUGACCGAGCAACGCCGCGUGAACGAAGAAGUUAUUCGUAAUGUAAAGUUCUUUUAACAGGGAAGAAAGAGAAAUUUGACGGUACCUGAAGAAUAAGCAUCGGCUAACUCCGUGCCAGCAGCCGCGGUAAUACGGAGGAUGCGAGCGUUAUCCGGAUUCAUUGGGUUUAAAGGGUGCGCAGGCGGGCCUUUAAGCCGGCGGGGAAAUCGCGGGGCUCAACCCCGCCGAGCCGUCGGAACUGGGGGCCUUGAGUGCGGCGGAGGCAUGCGGAAUGCGCGGUGUAGCGGUGAAAUGCAUAGAUAUCGCGCAGAACCCCGAUUGCGAAGGCAGCGUGCCGUGCCGCCACUGACGCUGAGGCACGAAAGCGCGGGGAUCGAACAGGAUUAGAUACCCCGGUAGUC